GCUAGUAAUCGCGAAUCAGAAUGUCGCGGUGAAUACGUUCCCGGGUCUUGUACACACCGCCCGUCACACCAUGGGAGUCGGUAACGCCCGAAGUCAGUGACCCAACCAAUCCGGAGGGAGCUGCCGAAGGCGGGAUCGGUAACUGGGGUGAAGUCGUAACAAGGUAGC
Molecule: ribosomal RNA, 168 nt
Filed under: uncultured bacterium
Lineage: Bacteria
Description: partial 16S ribosomal RNA
Rfam family: Bacterial small subunit ribosomal RNA
Source: RNAcentral